AUUAGAUACCCUGGUAGUCCACGCCCUAAACGAUGUACACUAGUUGUUGCGAUGCAAGUCAUCGCAGUAAUGCAGCUAACGCAUUAAGUGUACCGCCUGGGGAGUACGGUCGCAAGAUUAAAACUCAAAGGAAUAGACGGGGACCCGCACAAGCGGUGGAGCAUGUGGUUUAAUUCGAAGAUACGCGAAGAACCUUACCUGGACUUGACAUCCUAUUAAUAACAUAGAGAUAAGUUAGUGCUAGUUUACUAGAAAAUAGUGACAGGUGCUGCACGGCUGUCGUCAGCUCGUGUCGUGAGAUGUUGGGUUAAGUCCCGCAACGAGCGCAACCCUCGUCGUUAGUUGCUAACAGUUUGGCUGAGCACUCUAACGAGACUGCCUGGGUAACCAGGAGGAAGGUGAGGACGACGUCAAGUCAUCAUGGCCCUUAUGUCCAGGGCUACACACGUGCUACAAUGGUUAGGACAAUGAGACGCAAUACCGCGAGGUGGAGCAAAUCUAUAAACCUAAUCUCAGUUCGGAUAGCACUCUGCAACUCGAGUGCUUGAAGCUGGAAUCGCUAGUAAUCGUAGAUCAGCAAUGCUACGGUGAAUACGUUCCCGGGUCUUGUACUCACCGCCCGUCACACCAUGGGAAUUUAGUUCACCCGAAGCCGGAAUGCCAAAUUGGCUACCGUCCACGGUGGGCUCAGUAACUAGGGUGAAGUCGUAACAAGGUAACC
This 721-nucleotide ribosomal RNA is filed under the name uncultured bacterium. Its description in RNAcentral is "bacterial SSU rRNA". It matches the Rfam family "Bacterial small subunit ribosomal RNA", at positions 777 to 1501 of the family's 1533-position model. The record is from RNAcentral.